CGGGGUGAUGUCGGGAAAGGACAUUUUCCUAUCGUUAAAGGACGUGGUUGAUGGCUGGAAAGGACAUUUUCCCUUCGUUAAAGGUUCUCACUGAAGGGGAUAAUUCUCACUGAAACUACAGAAUAAAGCCGCCAGUUAAAAUCAUGGAACGGUUGUGCUCGUGGUUACUGAAGGGAGCUACAAGACCAUUAUUCGUUUCGAAUUCACCAACUCAAAGACGCUUGCCCGCUCCAUCAUAACUCCGUAAGUUUUCCCUCCCUGUGUAGAUCAAACGUCCUGCCUGUAAAUCCUGGGUAUGCCCACAUCAUUAAUGAAUAAGAUGUGUAGAAAACUGUUUAGCCAUAGUUAAAGGCCUUUCAUAAAGCAGCUGUCAUGAUUGCAUGUCCCUUAUGUUUAACACGUAUUGCUUGUUACAGAAUACUACUGUUGUACAUUUAAUAUCCCCUAGCAGAUUUCGUUGCCUUUGCACAAAUUCUGUCAUGUUACUGUGGUCUUUUUAAAAGUCAAUAAAAAUGUGUGUAAAGUGGC
Molecule: long non-coding RNA, 528 nt
Organism: Oncorhynchus nerka (sockeye salmon)
Lineage: Eukaryota; Metazoa; Chordata; Actinopteri; Salmoniformes; Salmonidae
Exons: 3
Source: RefSeq, a predicted model, not a curated record